GCCCAGACCUGGUGGUGCCUCAGUCAGGGUGGCCCACAGGCCCGGCCCUAAUCUCCUACGUCUCGAAGUCUACGUGCCCCUCGUCUGGAGAAGCAGAAGCGCGGACGCCGGAAAGAGCCGCUGCUGGCCGUGGGGAAGAAAGUUCUCUCUUCAUCCUCGGCCUGGGCCGCCCAAGUAAGGGUCUUUGAAGAAUGUGCAAAAUGUGGAAAUGCUACACCUCUGAGGGCAACAACGUUUGGUUCCUUGCCUAAGGAGAGAAACAGCCCUUCCCUGAGGUGUUGGAUGAACCACAGCUUCAUCAUUUGAAUCCCAGCAAGAGCAAAAGGAAGAAAAUAAACCAGUCACUAUCUCAAAGAUGCUGUCCUGCCAUGUAAGUAAGCAUUCCUUUUCCUGGAGUGCUGAAAAGAGAGGCUAAGAGGCCAGA
This is a long non-coding RNA of Aethalodelphis obliquidens (Pacific white-sided dolphin), 424 nucleotides long. RefSeq lists it as uncharacterized. The transcript is spliced from 3 exons. NCBI's taxonomy places the organism in Eukaryota, Metazoa, Chordata, Mammalia, Artiodactyla, Delphinidae. The record is from RefSeq and is a predicted model, not a curated record.